This 465-nucleotide ribosomal RNA is filed under the name Vreelandella stevensii. RNAcentral describes it as "partial 16S ribosomal RNA". It matches the Rfam family "Bacterial small subunit ribosomal RNA", at positions 338 to 795 of the family's 1533-position model. The record is from RNAcentral. Lineage: Bacteria; Pseudomonadati; Pseudomonadota; Gammaproteobacteria; Oceanospirillales; Halomonadaceae.
CCUACGGCGGGCAGCAGUGGGGAAUAUUGGACAAUGGGCGAAAGCCUGAUCCAGCCAUGCCGCGUGUGUGAAGAAGGCCUUCGGGUGGUAAAGCACUUUCAGUGGGGAAGAAAGCCUUGGGGCUAAUACCCUCGAGGAAGGACAUCACCCACAGAAGAAGCACCGGCUAACUCCGUGCUAGCAGCCGCGGUAAUACGGAGGGUGCGAGCGUUAAUCGGAAUUACUGGGCGUAAAGCGCGCGUAGGCGGUCUGAUAAGCCGGUUGUGAAAGCCCCGGGCUCAACCUGGGAACGGCAUCCGGAACUGUCAGGCUAGAGUGCAGGAGAGGAAGGUAGAAUUCCCGGUGUAGCGGUGAAAUGCGUAGAGAUCGGGAGGAAUACCAGUGGCGAAGGCGGCCUUCUGGACUGACACUGACGCUGAGGUGCGAAAGCGUGGGUAGCAAACAGGAUUAGAUACCCCAGUAGUC